AAUUCCCUCCCCCUCCCCCUGAAAUCCCAACUUUCCUCCCUAAAAUCCCUUAUUUCUCACAUCCAAUAAAGAAAACCAGAAGCUUAUUCAACUCUAGGGAAAAUCAAAAUCAAAGAACCCAGAACCAGAAAACCAAGGAAACGAUGAGAAAAAGAGAAAAAAGGGAUUGGAAAUUGAAAGGUCCCGAGUGGAAGGGUUGUCAAUAGGAGGGCAUGAAACUUGCAUUAUUUUUCCCACUCUUAACCUAGCAUUUGAUAUCGGUCGAUGCCCACAACGUGCCCUUUCUCAAGAUUUUCUUUUUGUUUACUCAAUCCAACUCCAUUGAUUCCUUUACCUUCUUUCAAUCUUAAUCUAAAUUUUCUUUAAUUUAGGGAAAAAAAUUAUUUUUUAUGGCCGAUCAUCAGUUCUGCUUAUUUUACAGUGAAAAGGAAAGGAAGAUUUAGUUUUCACAGAAAAAAGUGUGGAUUCGGUGCAGUUCAGUAGACUAUGAUCGGAUCCACCGCAGGUUCAUGUUCUGUUGUCAUUGGAAUCAAUAGGAGUUCAAUUUGUAAUGCAAUCUGUUGACGAGAGUAAGGAAAAGAAGACGAAUUUGAAACGAUCAAGAUCACUAUCCCUGCACGAUAUGCCCGUGACUGACAGCCCUGCUACGCAAACCCUUGACCAUUACGCAAACCCUUUUAUAAAAAUUAUUUAAUGAAUAAUAUCAAAUGCAAUAGGCUCUAACUGUUUGAUUUUUACCUGGUUUCAAUAUACUGUGUGCGUGGCAAAUUAGAUUUUUACCCCCUUGUCUUGAAUAUGACAAUAUUUUUAAUGAAUUGCAGACUCAUGGACUUGCUGAAUAUAUAGCUCAGGAAGAGAUGGAUAGAAAAACUGGGUUUUGGUGGUCACUUGAUGGCAAAUUCAUUGCAUUUACAGAGGUUGAUUAUUCUGCGAUACCUCUUUUUAGAAUUAUGCACCAAGGUAAAUUGGAUAUUUUAGAACUUUAAUUGAAUUAUUGAAAGUGGCUUAAUUUUUAAUUUUGCAAGUUUUUGUUGAUCAGCAAUUUAUUUAUUUUCUGUGUAGUAUUUUUCUAUAUUUUUUUAUCUUUCAUCAUGCUAUCCCUUGCACCGCAGUUAACAAAUAGCUUCUGGAAUUUGUGAUUUGCCUUAUCUUUUUCGAUCUCAUUUUUUGUCAUUCAUAACUGGAAUUGUUAUAAUACUUCUUAUCUUGUGUGGAAGACUGCAAAGGUCUCAGUCUCUUUAAUUCGUUAUCUUAUUUGAUCAGGUGCUCUCACUUUGCCGAUCCAAUUUCUUUCGAUCAGAUGUUUACAUUUUUUUCUUAAUGUGCUAUUUUCUUCAUGUUGAUUCCUACAAUACUUGUAUAUUAGGCUCUCGCCCCUUAUUUUUUGUUUAUUACUUUUGAAUACAUUCGUCAACCACGUAUAUUUAAUAGAACCAUUUAUCGAUUGACUCAUACAUAUGAAGGGUGACUGUUUUGAAAAGAAAUGAACAUGAAAAUAAUUGCAGGGAUCCUAAACCGAUAAGCUUUGGUAUGAAGAAUAUCGAUAUACUGUCUUUGUUUGGUAUGAAGGAAGUUUUAGUUAGUUGGCCAUUAUUAAGGUCAGAACUAGAGUCAUUGUUUGGCUGCACUUCGAUUUUUGUUAAGUUGAGCUCAAAUUUUAUUAGUUUUUUUGGCUCAUUGAGCUUAUAUUUUCUUUUUAUACAUGCAAAAUGGAACUGGAUUUAAUUGCAGUUAAAAAAUGCGCAAGUUCUGUGCCUGUGCAGCUGAUCUUUUUGUUUAUUUUGUGGCACUAAUUCAUAGAUUAGAAAUCAUGUCUUCUCGGUAAGGGAACGUUGGUUUAGUACUAAUCUUCUCUUCUUUUGUUUGUCUUGUAUCUAUUUAUUAUUUUUUUCUUUUUUGCAUUUGUAUCAUUUUACGUGACAGUGGCUGUCCUAAGGCAUACCACCCAGCCUGUAUCAAAAGGGAUGAGGCAUUCUUUAAAUCCAAGGCAAAAUGGAACCGCGACAUACACGGAUAAAAAAGGUAUCAGGCAGCAGCAGUUGUUGGCAUUUAUCCCAAGACAUCACAAGCACUACAUUUUACCGAGUAAGAAUAGUUGAUAGAGGCCUUCUUUUUUUCCUGGAAGCUAAUUAGUGGGUUGAAGUUUUGUAUGUUUUCUCAUUUCCAUUUCCUUUUUGUCCUGUUUCUUUGCCUCUCUUCUAUUGCAAUUUUUUCUAAGCCAAAUUCUGUCAGCAAGAAGGUACAUUUUAAUCCACAGUUACAGACAGAUCGUAGGCAAAAUUAUCUCCAUGCUAAACCUUGUCUUCAGCCUUCAGGCUUGCUAAGAACAUCCAAGAUGCUUAUGGUGAGGCAGCUAGCAUUGCUGAACAGUCGCAUUAUUUAACACCAAAACCCAUAUUUUACGGGUUUUUCAAAGAAGAAAAAUGCUGAGAAUAGAUGGUCUCUGCAAAAAGAUGGGCUACAAGGACGCCAAGUUACUGAUGCUUUACGGGUAUUAGAUUUAUCCUUUUUCAUCUGUUUCUUGUGUGUUCCUAGCUUUCACUGUAAAAUGGGAUAGCUAAAUUUGGUUUCUGCAUACUCCAAAAUUCCUGAAAAAAGGUUGACAACAUUGGCAAGUAAAAUUUUAGAGAAAGUUCUAUGAAGUUUUUUAUGGAUUCUGUGGCGCAGACCCAUAUUUUUUAUUUUGGCAUAUCAUGUAAUUGUUGUACAAGUAAAGUAAAAAGUAGACUGAUGCAGUUUACUAUGAAGUUUUUAGAGAAAGUUCUAUGAAGUUUUAAUCUAUGCUUGCUUUCCCAUGGAUUUCCAUUCCAACUAGCUUCGAUACGGAUCUGCUGCUUUCAGUUUCAUGCGAUCUCCUCACUGUUAACUUGUAAUUAUCCUUUUUCCACCUUUUGAUGAGUGAUUUUGCUGCUGCUAUUGUUGUUAUUUGGCUCUGAUAGCCAAUGGCGUUGAAGCGGGGACUAUCCAGUGUGGGCGUCCAAAGGAAUAGAAGUUCUGGAUCUCGUUUGCGUAUCAUGAUUCUUUUUUUCUUCUCAAUUCUGAUGCUCAUUGCUUUGAGUUCAUUACAAUUUUGCUGCUUUCAGUUUCACGCUUAUUGCUUUGAGUUCAUUACAAGAUUUCCUUGAUUAAAUAAAUGUAUUAUAUCUUUUAUUACCAAGAUUUACUUGAUUAAGAAAAUGCAUUGUAUGUUUUAUUACCUUGCAUAUGUAUUAUUUAUUUUAGUUUUGAUUCUAAAUUUUUAUUUUUACUUAAGAGUUCUAACUUUUGGAUUUUAAUUGUGUUAUUAAUUUAUUAUUUUAAAUUCUAAAACUAAAUUCAUUAAUUUUAUAUUUAGUUUUAAAGUUAAAAUUUUCAUAGAAAAUUUAAUUUAAAUAAUAUUUUUUAUUUAUCCUUAAAAGUAUAUUUAAAGUUCAAAUUUAGAAAAUAAAACAUAAUAUAAUAUUUAUCAUAAGAAUAAAUAUAAUUUGAUUAAAAUAAAAAUUUUUAAAGGUUAUGCCUUUAGCGGCGUUUUUGCGAGAAGCGCCGCUAAAGGUUAUGGUCUUUAGCGGCGUUUGUGGGAAAAGCGCUGCUAAAGGUCAUGGUCUUUAAUGGCGUUUGUGGGAAAAGCGCUGCUAAAGGUCAUGGUCUUUAGCGGCGUUUGUGAAAAAAGCGCCGCUAAAGGUCAUGGUCUUUAGCGGCGUUUGUGGAAAAGCGCCGCUAAAGGUCUUGGUUUUUAAAGGCGAUUGUAGGAAAAGCGCCGCUAAAGGUCAUGGUCUUUGGCGGCGUUUGUUUCUAAAAACGCCGCUAAAGUUAGCGACGCUGUCAUUAGCGGCGCCCUAAAAAAGCGCCGCUAAAAACCUGUUUUGGUGUAGUGAUUUCUUGUUUCUAUACGUCGAACUUACUAAGCUUCAAUAAGCUUACUUGUGUUAAUUUAUGUUUCUUGUAGACACUUUUGAAGGUUGGACGAUCAGACCAGCACUCAAGUCACACUAUCCAUCCGAUUUCGAAACUAUAAAGAGCCAAGGUUCUCCACCAAACUCAUCACCCACACAUCUAAGGCUUGGUUGUAGCAUAUGAAGGUUCAGCUUGAGAAGAAAGGAAGAGCUUUGAGAAAGAAGUUACUAGAGAUAGUCCUAGCAAAGGGAAAGAGAAGGUGGUGGAUUGAAGACCUUCAAAAAGGCUCUAUCCAUUUUUAUUGCUUUUGGGAAAGAGGGUUGAUCUAGAGAGACAUUGAAGCGUAGCUCAAUCUAGGACAUCACACUAUCAUCGAGACCUACAAGAGUAUGAAGGUUAAGUACUUUUUAGUUGUGGCAUGUACUAGGUGUCUACAUAAGUAAAUAUGUUAAUUUCAUAUUACUUGGUCUUUGUGUUGAAGGUUAUUUAAAUUUAAGCUUAAGAGCCAACAUUUUAUUUCCCUAACUUAUCAUUCUUUUGUUUAACCGAUGAUAUGUAUGAAUACUUUACUUUUAAGGUCAUUGGUUGUGAUUUUCAA
Molecule: long non-coding RNA, 4471 nt
Organism: Gossypium raimondii (Peruvian cotton)
Lineage: Eukaryota; Viridiplantae; Streptophyta; Magnoliopsida; Malvales; Malvaceae
Exons: 10
Source: RefSeq, a predicted model, not a curated record